UACGUAGGGCGCAAGCGUUAUCCGGAAUUACUGGGCGUAAAGGGCUCGUAGGCGGCCAACUAAGUCAGACGUGAAAUCCCUCGGCUUAACCGGGGAACUGCGUCUGAUACUGGAUGGCUUGAGAUUGGGAGAGGGAUGCGGAAUUCCAGGUGUAGCGGUGAAAUGCGUAGAUAUCUGGAGGAACACCGGUGGCGAAGGCGGCAUCCUGGACCAACACUGACGCUGAGGAGCGAAAAGCCAGGGGGAGCAAACGGGG
Molecule: ribosomal RNA, 256 nt
Filed under: uncultured bacterium
Lineage: Bacteria
Description: partial 16S ribosomal RNA
Rfam family: Bacterial small subunit ribosomal RNA
Source: RNAcentral